CUUGGUGGCUAUGCUGGCGUUGAACUACCUGAUCCCAUCCCGAACUCAGAAGUAAAAGACGCCAAGGCCCAUGAUAGUCGGGAUUACCCGGCGAAAGUAGGUAGCCGCCAGAC
This 113-nucleotide ribosomal RNA is filed under the name Candidatus Yanofskybacteria bacterium RIFCSPLOWO2_01_FULL_49_17. RNAcentral also lists the same sequence under 1 other name. The record is from RNAcentral. Lineage: Bacteria; Candidatus Yanofskyibacteriota.